GCACAAGCAGUGGAGUAUGUGGUUUAAUUCGAAGCAACGCGAAGAACCUUACCAGGUCUUGACAUCCGAUGCAUAGCACAGAGAUGUGUGAAAUCCUUCGGGACAUCGAGACAGGUGGUGCAUGGUUGUCGUCAGCUCGUGUCGUGAGAUGUUGGGUUAAGUCCCGCAACGAGCGCAACCCUUAUUGCCAGUUACCACGUUAAGAGGACUCUGGCGAGACUGCCGUUGACAAAA
Molecule: ribosomal RNA, 234 nt
Filed under: uncultured bacterium
Lineage: Bacteria
Description: partial 16S ribosomal RNA
Rfam family: Bacterial small subunit ribosomal RNA
Source: RNAcentral